UUUCUUGGAUAUUGCUUUUUUCCCCGCCCCUUCUUUUUAGUGAUUUGAUCUAAAUUUCAUAAGCAGAAUGUUAUUGGCUUUCAAUAAGCAGAGAAAUGGCCAAAUGUUUCUUGAAGAUGUGACAUAUUAGGUUAGGGAACUGGUUGAAUUGCUCUGUUUCGGAGAAACGAGUUAUGGGAGAAGCAAGGAUGACAGGUCUUAACAUUAAGGGCUUUGUGGGUAUUAUGCAAUUAACAAUUGUCAUGAGGCAGAAUUGAAUUUCCUCUCAAUUGUGAACUACUUUUUGCACAUUUUGUAUUAGUUUGGGGUGAACUGUGUAAAACUCUGGCUGCCAAUUAUGAGUAAGCAGUGUAAAAAUUAUAGAAUUGUGAUUUGUAAGAAUUGUAGGUGAGUUCGUAGCAAAAUUUACUAGAAUUGUAAUCAGAGUUUUAUAGUAGGAAAAUCUUUUGAGUAGUUUUCAAGAGGACUGGAUGUAG
Neltuma alba is the source of this 476-nucleotide long non-coding RNA. RefSeq lists it as uncharacterized. The record is from RefSeq and is a predicted model, not a curated record. NCBI's taxonomy places the organism in Eukaryota, Viridiplantae, Streptophyta, Magnoliopsida, Fabales, Fabaceae. The transcript is spliced from 3 exons.